Molecule: ribosomal RNA, 421 nt
Filed under: uncultured bacterium
Lineage: Bacteria
Description: bacterial SSU rRNA
Rfam family: Bacterial small subunit ribosomal RNA
Source: RNAcentral
GCAGAACGCGAAGAACCUUACCAAGGCUUGACAUACACCAGAACACCCUAGAAAUAGGGGACUCUUUGGACACUGGUGAACAGGUGGUGCAUGGUUGUCGUCAGCUCGUGUCGUGAGAUGUUGGGUUAAGUCCCGCAACGAGCGCAACCCUCGUUCUAUGUUGCCAGCACGUAAUGGUGGGAACUCAUGGGAUACUGCCGGGGUCAACUCGGAGGAAGGUGGGGAUGACGUCAAAUCAUCAUGCCCCUUAUGUCUUGGGCUUCACGCAUGCUACAAUGGCCGGUACAAAGGGCUGCAAUACCGUGAGGUGGAGCGAAUCCCAAAAAGCCGGUCCCAGUUCGGAUUGCAGGCUGCAACUCGCCUGCAUGAAGUCGGAAUCGCUAGUAACCGCAGAUCAGCACGCUGCGGUGAAUACGUUCCC